YGUGAACCUCGGAAGGAUCAUU
RNAcentral lists this ribosomal RNA (22 nucleotides) under Cirsium canum. Its description in RNAcentral is "partial 18S ribosomal RNA". Lineage: Eukaryota; Viridiplantae; Streptophyta; Magnoliopsida; Asterales; Asteraceae. The record is from RNAcentral.